This 449-nucleotide ribosomal RNA is filed under the name Serratia marcescens. RNAcentral describes it as "bacterial SSU rRNA". It matches the Rfam family "Bacterial small subunit ribosomal RNA", at positions 1 to 446 of the family's 1533-position model. Lineage: Bacteria; Pseudomonadati; Pseudomonadota; Gammaproteobacteria; Enterobacterales; Yersiniaceae. The record is from RNAcentral.
UAAUUGAAGAGUUUGAUCAUGGCUCAGAUUGAACGCUGGCGGCAGGCUUAACACAUGCAAGUCGAGCGGUAGCACAAGAGAGCUUGCUCUCUGGGUGACGAGCGGCGGACGGGUGAGUAAUGUCUGGGAAACUGCCUGAUGGAGGGGGAUAACUACUGGAAACGGUAGCUAAUACCGCAUAACGUCGCAAGACCAAAGAGGGGGACCUUCGGGCCUCUUGCCAUCAGAUGUGCCCAGAUGGGAUUAGCUAGUAGGUGGGGUAAUGGCUCACCUAGGCGACGAUCCCUAGCUGGUCUGAGAGGAUGACCAGCCACACUGGAACUGAGACACGGUCCAGACUCCUACGGGAGGCAGCAGUGGGGAAUAUUGCACAAUGGGCGCAAGCCUGAUGCAGCCAUGCCGCGUGUGUGAAGAAGGCCUUCGGGUUGUAAAGCACUUUCAGCGAGGAG